This 534-nucleotide ribosomal RNA is filed under the name uncultured archaeon. Its description in RNAcentral is "bacterial SSU rRNA". It matches the Rfam family "Archaeal small subunit ribosomal RNA", at positions 465 to 997 of the family's 1478-position model. The record is from RNAcentral.
CCGCGGGAACACCGGCGGCCCGAGUGGUGAUCGUGAUUAUUGGGUCUAAAGGGUCCGUAGCCGGUUUGGUCAGUCCUCCGGGAAAUCUGAUAGCUCAACUAUUAGGCUUUCGGGGGAUACUGCCAGACUUGGAACCGGGAGAGGUAAGAGGUACUACAGGGGUAGGAGUGAAAUCUUGUAAUCCCUGUGGGACCACCUGUGGCGAAGGCGUCUUACCAGAACGGGUUCGACGGUGAGGGACGAAAGCUGGGGGCACGAACCGGAUUAGAUACCCGGGUAGUCCCAGCCGUAAACGAUGCUCGCUAGGUGUCAGGCAUGGCGCGACCGUGUCUGGUGCCGCAGGGAAGCCGUGAAGCGAGCCACCUGGGAAGUACGGCCGCAAGGCUGAAACUUAAAGGAAUUGGCGGGGGAGCACAACAACGGGUGGAAGCCUGCGGUUUAAUUGGACUCAACGCCGGACAACUCACCGGGGGCGACAGCAAUAUGUAGGCCAAGCUGAAGACUUUGCCUGAAUCGCUGAGAAGAGGUGCAUGG